UACGUAGGGUGCGAGCGUUAAUCGGAAUUACUGGGCGUAAAGCGUGCGCAGGCGGUUCGUUAAGUCAGAUGUGAAAGCCCCGGGCUCAACCUGGGAACUGCAUUUGAAACUGGCGGGCUUGAGUGUGGCAGAGGGGGGUGGAAUUCCGCGUGUAGCGGUGAAAUGCGUAGAUAUCUGAAGGAACAUCAGUGGCGAAAGCGACUUCCUGGACCAAUACUGACGCUCAUGUGCGAAAGCGUGGGGAGCAAACAGG
RNAcentral lists this ribosomal RNA (253 nucleotides) under uncultured bacterium. RNAcentral's name for it is "partial 16S ribosomal RNA". It matches the Rfam family "Bacterial small subunit ribosomal RNA", at positions 524 to 776 of the family's 1533-position model. The record is from RNAcentral.